Panicum virgatum (switchgrass) is the source of this 851-nucleotide long non-coding RNA. RefSeq lists it as uncharacterized. The transcript is spliced from 2 exons. The record is from RefSeq and is a predicted model, not a curated record. Lineage: Eukaryota; Viridiplantae; Streptophyta; Magnoliopsida; Poales; Poaceae.
GUGCCCUGUGCGUCGUCGGUGCCUCCCUAUUGUUUCACCCUCCGGACGGCUGCCGUCUUGCUCUAUUCCUCGACCCUAUCGUUGUUCUCCACCUUCCUUGAUAAGCUAUCCGUUUCUGCUGCCUCCUCCCUUCUGAUCUGGUGUAGUUGGCUUUACCGGCCGGAGCCAUCUCCUUGGCCUGGAGCUGCUGCUCUCGCCUCUCAGCCACCACCACGCUUAAUCCAUCAUGCUUAGCUCCGAGCACCAUGGCAUCCAACGUUCGUUCCCCAAGUUCGAUGCACCUCAUGGCUAGCGGCUCUCACCACUGCCGUGACCCGUGGAGGCCCCCUCCAUAGCUCGCUGGUGUGUGAGGUGUGCCCUCUGCUCAGUACCGCUGAGAAAGUAUCCAUUCUGGUCUUGCUGCAUCAGAGCAUGAUCCGCCCCUCUGGAUUGGCCAGACUUGAAGGCAGCGAUAUGCUGGCGGAAUAGAAAGGCAAGGCAAGAAGAGGCCAUGUUAACAUCCACGCCUUCAUCUGCUACUUUGUGUCAGGAACAAAAAAUAUUGCAUUCUCUCGCGACUUCUUGCAUCUUGGACCUCAAUGAUCUGUUCAGUUGUUUGUGAUAUAGUUGAUUUGAUUGAUAAAUUGAUAAUGAUGAGCAAAACAAGUGAUGUACACUAAUUGCCUAAUAUAAGCUAAUGCAGUUUAGUACUAAUAGAAUUCACUGGGUAUUCGAUUUCAAGCUAAUUAGUUAUAAGUGACUUUGUUUAACUCUGCAAAUGAGAUUCUAUUUGUUCAUUUUAGAAUGUGAAAUUUCUUUCCUGUAUGGCCAUUUGUUGCUUAUGUAAAAUAAUGAAAGACAGAUUGUCAAAA